This 221-nucleotide long non-coding RNA is filed under the name Panax ginseng (ginseng). Its description in RNAcentral is "long non-coding RNA (PGIN_LNC015159)". The record is from RNAcentral. Lineage: Eukaryota; Viridiplantae; Streptophyta; Magnoliopsida; Apiales; Araliaceae.
GAUAAAGCAUUAUAGGCUAGUAACUGCACCUGAAAAUCGUUGAGAGACCUCAUCUUCUUUAUUAAAAGUGAACCAGACUAUCAAAUGCUAUCUUUAUUGAAAUCUACAUGCUAUGAUUGAUGUUUGGUGUAAUUUUAACCGUGUUCUUGAAUCCUCCAUAUGAUUAAGACAAUAAUUGCUUCUUUUUUAAAAUCCAACUUCCAUAUUUAUACCUUUUCUUG